UACAGAGGGUGCGAGCGUUAAUCGGAAUUACUGGGCGUAAAGCGCGCGUAGGCGGCUUUGCAAGUCGGGUGUGAAAUCCCCAGGCUUAACCUGGGAACUGCAUUCGAGACUGCAUUGCUAGAGUAUGGGAGAGGGAAGUGGAAUUUCCGGUGUAGCGGUGGAAUGCGCAGAUAUCAGGAAGAACACCAACGGCGAAGGCAGCUCGCUGGGACGGAACUGACGCUAAGGCGCGAAAGCGUGGGGAGCGAACAGG
Molecule: ribosomal RNA, 253 nt
Filed under: uncultured bacterium
Lineage: Bacteria
Description: partial 16S ribosomal RNA
Rfam family: Bacterial small subunit ribosomal RNA
Source: RNAcentral